RNAcentral lists this ribosomal RNA (450 nucleotides) under uncultured bacterium. Its description in RNAcentral is "partial 16S ribosomal RNA". It matches the Rfam family "Bacterial small subunit ribosomal RNA", at positions 354 to 796 of the family's 1533-position model. The record is from RNAcentral.
GUGGGGAAUAUUGGACAAUGGGCGAAAGCCUGAUCCAGCCAUGCCGCGUGUGUGAAGAAGGUCUUCGGAUUGUAAAGCACUUUAAGUUGGGAGGAAGGGCAGUAAGUUAAUACCUUGCUGUUUUGACGUUACCGACAGAAUAAGCACCGGCUAACUUCGUGCCAGCAGCCGCGGUAAUACGAAGGGUGCAAGCGUUAAUCGGAAUUACUGGGCGUAAAGCGCGCGUAGGUGGUUUUGUAAGUUGGAGGUGAAAUCCCCGGGCUCAACCUGGGAACUGCCUCCAAAACUGCAUGACUAGAGUACGGUAGAGGGUAGUGGAAUUUCCUGUGUAGCGGUGAAAUGCGUAGAUAUAGGAAGGAACACCAGUGGCGAAGGCGACUACCUGGACUGAUACUGUCACUGAGGUGCGAAAGCGUGGGGAGCAAACGGGAUUAGAAACCCGUGUAGUCC